GACCAGAUAAAGAGGUGUUUUGAGUAGGUCUCCAAACAUGAGAGUGGAUAGUCAUAAAAGGGGGUAAGAUUUUUAUGAUUAUUCACAUGAUAGGAACUCUUAUGUUUAAUUUACUUACAUACAUCACAAAAUAAAGAAUCCGUGUUUUGACUUCUAUUCAAAACAUAUAAGCCGUCCUGCAGUCUAUCAGUGUCAAUUGUCUUCCCUAUUUG
RNAcentral lists this long non-coding RNA (212 nucleotides) under Carica papaya (papaya). Its description in RNAcentral is "long non-coding RNA (CPAP_LNC012788)". Lineage: Eukaryota; Viridiplantae; Streptophyta; Magnoliopsida; Brassicales; Caricaceae. The record is from RNAcentral.